AGUGGCGGACGGGUGAGUAACGCGUGAGAAUCUGCCUUGGGGUCGGGGACAACCACUGGAAACGGUGGCUAAUACCGGAUAAGCCGAUUGGUGAAAGAUUUAUUGCCCGAAGAGGAGCUCGCGUCUGAUUAGCUAGUUAGUGAGGUAAGAGCUCACCAAGGCAGCGAUCAGUAGCUGGUCUGAGAGGACGAUCAGCCACACUGGGACUGAGACACGGCCCAGACUCCUACGGGAGGCAGCAGUGGGGAAUUUUCCGCAAUGGGCGAAAGCCUGACGGAGCAAGACCGCGUGAGGGAGGAAGGCUCUUGGGUUGUAAACCUCUUUUCUCAGGGAAGAAGCUCUGACGGUACCUGAGGAAUCAGCCUCGGCUAACUCCGUGCCAGCAGCCGCGGUAAUACGGAGGAGGCAAGCGUUAUCCGGAAUUAUUGGGCGUAAAGCGUCCGCAGGUGGCGAUUCAAGUCUGCUGUCAAAGCACGGGGCUUAACUCCGUAAAGGCAGUGGAAACUGAAUAGCUAGAGUGCCGUAGGGGUAGAGGGAAUUCCCGGUGUAGCGGUGAAAUGCGUAGAGAUCGGGAAGAACAUCGGUGGCGAAAGCGCUCUACUGGACGGCAACUGACACUCAGGGACGAAAGCUAGGGGAGCGAAUGGGAUUAGAUACCCC
This 660-nucleotide ribosomal RNA is filed under the name uncultured bacterium. RNAcentral describes it as "bacterial SSU rRNA". It matches the Rfam family "Bacterial small subunit ribosomal RNA", at positions 94 to 788 of the family's 1533-position model. The record is from RNAcentral.